RNAcentral lists this non-coding RNA (30 nucleotides) under Rattus norvegicus (Norway rat). The record is from RNAcentral. Lineage: Eukaryota; Metazoa; Chordata; Mammalia; Rodentia; Muridae.
UCCAGCUCCAGAGCUUUCUCCUGGGAUUGU